This 217-nucleotide long non-coding RNA is filed under the name Elaeis guineensis (African oil palm). RNAcentral's name for it is "long non-coding RNA (EGUI_LNC068554)". The record is from RNAcentral. Lineage: Eukaryota; Viridiplantae; Streptophyta; Magnoliopsida; Arecales; Arecaceae.
GUGUCAUCACUCAUCAGCAUGAACUGACACUAGGGUCAGUGUGCAUAUGAGUUUGAGGUCAGAUUAUGGCCAUUUUUGGAGAAUCAUCUUGGUGGGAUGAUUUGAUCAUCCAAUCUUCCAUUCUCGACAUCCAAGGAGGUCCUUUGGUGUUGCUGUAGUUUCUAUAUGUGUUGUUGGUGGUGGGUCUGAGGCAAGUGCUCGACCUAUACUCGAGGUA